UACGAAGGGGGCUAGCGUUGCUCGGAAUCACUGGGCGUAAAGCGCACGUAGGCGGGUCUUUAAGUCGGAGGUGAAAUCCUGGAGCUCAACUCCAGAACUGCCUUCGAUACUGAGGAUCUCGAGUCCGGGAGAGGUGAGUGGAACUGCGAGUGUAGAGGUGAAAUUCGUAGAUAUUCGCAAGAACACCAGUGGCGAAGGCGGCUUACUGGACCGGUUCUGACGCUGAGGCGCGAAAGCGUGGGUAGCGAACAGG
Molecule: ribosomal RNA, 253 nt
Filed under: uncultured bacterium
Lineage: Bacteria
Description: partial 16S ribosomal RNA
Rfam family: Bacterial small subunit ribosomal RNA
Source: RNAcentral